UUUCAGGAUCCAGCAUUUGUUUAAGGGAACUUGGUAAAACCGUAGAAGAACCAUCACCCAAACCAUCAUCUGCAUUGUUGUGGGAAAAUAUGCCAGACCCUCCCAUUCCAGCACUGUUAACGGCUGCAUCAGAAAACGUAAACUUAUCACGACCAUAUCGGUUCUCGAGAUAUCCUGAUCCUCCAGGAAUAUUAAGACCUCUCAUUUCUUCAUCUUGAGCUCCAUUUAAUUCAUCUAAUUUGGGGAAAAAGUUGGACCGUUUUCUACGCAGAGAUGCAGCCUCAGAAUGGAAAGUUAAAGGGGAAGAAGCAGGAGAAAGAGUAUUAG
Molecule: non-coding RNA, 327 nt
Organism: Schizosaccharomyces pombe (fission yeast)
Lineage: Eukaryota; Fungi; Ascomycota; Schizosaccharomycetes; Schizosaccharomycetales; Schizosaccharomycetaceae
Source: the annotation of a GenBank genome assembly